CCUACGGGGGGCAGCAGUAAGGAAUAUUGGUCAAUGGAGGCAACUCUGAACCAGCCAUGCCGCGUGCAGGAAGACAGCCCUCUGGGUCGUAAACUGCUUUUAUUCGGGAAUAAACCUUUCUACGUGUAGGAAGCUGAAUGUACCGAAGGAAUAAGGAUCGGCUAACUCCGUGCCAGCAGCCGCGGUAAUACGGAGGAUCCAAGCGUUAUCCGGAUUUAUUGGGUUUAAAGGGUGCGUAGGCGGCUUAUUAAGUCAGGGGUGAAAGACGGUGGCUCAACCAUCGCAGUGCCCUUGAUACUGAUGAGCUUGAAUGAACUAGAGGUAGGCGGAAUGUGACAAGUAGCGGUGAAAUGCAUAGAUAUGUCACAGAACACCGAUUGCGAAGGCAGCUUACUAUGGUUUUAUUGACGCUGAGGCACGAAAGCGUGGGGAUCAAACAGGAUUAGAUACCCUUGUAGUC
Molecule: ribosomal RNA, 460 nt
Filed under: uncultured Pedobacter sp.
Lineage: Bacteria; Pseudomonadati; Bacteroidota; Sphingobacteriia; Sphingobacteriales; Sphingobacteriaceae
Description: bacterial SSU rRNA
Rfam family: Bacterial small subunit ribosomal RNA
Source: RNAcentral